RNAcentral lists this ribosomal RNA (729 nucleotides) under uncultured bacterium. RNAcentral describes it as "bacterial SSU rRNA". It matches the Rfam family "Bacterial small subunit ribosomal RNA", at positions 43 to 763 of the family's 1533-position model. The record is from RNAcentral.
CAGGCCUAACACAUGCAAGUCGAACGCGAACGUCCUCUUCGGAGGGCUAGUAGAGUGGCGGACGGGUGAGUAACACUUGGGAAUCUACCCGACAGUGGGGAAUAACCCGGGGAAACUCGGGCUAAUACCGCAUACGUUCCACGGAAGAAAGGGGGCCUCUUCUUGAAAGCUCCCGCUGACGGAUGAGCCCAAGUCGGAUUAGCUAGUUCGUGAGGUAACGGCUCACGAAGGCAACGAUCCGUAGCUGGUCUGAGAGGAUGAUCAGCCACACUGGGACUGAGACACGGCCCAGACUCCUACGGGAGGCAGCAGUGGGGAAUAUUGGACAAUGGGCGAAAGCCUGAUCCAGCAAUGCCGCGUGUGUGAAGAAGGCCUGCGGGUUGUAAAGCACUUUCAGCAGGGAAGAAACGCCGGGGACUAAUACUCCCGCGGUACUGACGUUACCUGCACAAGAAGCACCGGCUAACUCCGUGCCAGCAGCCGCGGUAAUACGGAGGGUGCGAGCGUUAAUCGGAAUUACUGGGCGUAAAGCGCGCGCAGGCGGUUCGGUAAGUCAGAUGUGAAAUCCCCGGGCUUAACCUGGGAAUUGCAUUUGAUACUGCCGAACUAGAGUAUGGGAGAGGGAAGUGGAAUCUCCGGUGUAGCGGUGAAAUGCGUAGAGAUCGGAGGGAACACCAGUGGCGAAGGCGGCUUCCUGGCCCAAUACUGACGCUCAGGCGCGAAAGCGUG